RNAcentral lists this ribosomal RNA (253 nucleotides) under uncultured bacterium. Its description in RNAcentral is "partial 16S ribosomal RNA". It matches the Rfam family "Bacterial small subunit ribosomal RNA", at positions 524 to 776 of the family's 1533-position model. The record is from RNAcentral.
UGCGGGGGGAGCAAGCGUUACUCGGAAUCACUGGGCGUAAAGGGCGCGUAGGCGGCCUAGCAAGUCUGGUGUGAAAGCCCAGGGCUCAACCCUGGAAGGGCACUGGAAACUGUUAGGCUUGAGUUCCGGAGAGGAGGGGGGAACUCCCGGUGUAGCGGUGAAAUGCGUAGAUAUCGGGAGGAAUACCGGUGGCGAAGGUGCCCCUCUGGACGGAAACUGACGCUGAGACACGAAAGCGUGGGGAGCAAACAGG